This 559-nucleotide long non-coding RNA is filed under the name Zalophus californianus (California sea lion). Its description in RNAcentral is "lncRNA (ENSZCAG00015000333.1)". Lineage: Eukaryota; Metazoa; Chordata; Mammalia; Carnivora; Otariidae. The record is from RNAcentral.
CCUCUCAGAGUAGUGCUUCUCAACCUUUAAUGUGCAUGUGAAUCAUCUGAGGAUCUUAUUAAGAUGCCAUUUCUGGUUCAGCAGGUCUGGGAUAGGGCCAGAAAUUCUACAUUUCUAACAAGCUUCCAAGGAUGUGGGUGCUGAUGAUCUACAGACCUUACUUUGCUCAGCAGACCAUCAAACAACCAAAGGGUUUUAUGGAGAAAUGACCCAUGAAAAACAAUUCCCUGCUUCUACCAGAACAAACUUGCUGGACGUGGAUGGCCCCAUCUAGAUGGCCGAGAGCUGGAAGUUGCACCCUGUGAUCAUGAAGGAAGUUGCUGUGGACAGAAGCAACCAGAGCUCUCUUUUUCUGCCAUGUGAGGAUAAACUAGAAGGCAACCAUCUGUAAACCAGAAAGAGACCUCUCACCAGACACCAGAUCUGCUGGCACCUUGAUCUGGCACUUCUCAACCCCCAGAACCACAAGCAGUAAAUGCUUAUUGUUUUAGCCACUCAGUCUGUGUUAUUUUGUUAUAGCUGCUGGCAUUGACUAAGACAGAGUCCAUUCCUAACUUCC